RNAcentral lists this small RNA (906 nucleotides) under Pongo abelii (Sumatran orangutan). RNAcentral describes it as "retained intron". Lineage: Eukaryota; Metazoa; Chordata; Mammalia; Primates; Hominidae. The record is from RNAcentral.
CCUCCUCCUUGGUCGCCGCGUCCUUGGCUGGCGUGUGAGUACCGCGGCCCCCGCCGGAAGGAGUCGGGCGCGACAGAGACGCCCGAGGGGCCGGGAGGGCGGGCGGCCCGGGCUGCGCCAGAAGCUCGCGCCGUUAGGGACUGAGGCGCAAGUGCGCCAGCGCGGGCUUAGGGGCCGUGGGCCAAGUGCGGCUCUUGGGGCGAGCGCAGAGAGGCGGGGCGGCGGAGGCCACGUGGCCUGCCUGGAGGGCGUUCGCGGGCCGGGGGCGCCGGGAGCACUGGCUCACGGCGCAUCCCGGUCGUGGAAGCCCCUCGGCCGGGCUGCUGGGGCCUAAGGCCUGUGUUUGCUGCCGUCUCCGCGGGAGACCAGACAUCUGCCCCAGCUGUUCCUCUGGCCUCAGACCUUCGUACACCACGUGUUUGUUAAGCACCAGUUACUGCACGCAUCAGCUGAGCACAGAGGGGAUAGGCACGGACGCAGCACUCUUGGAACUUAGACGCUAGUGAGCACGGAAAGGAAUAAGCCUAAAAAUGGCUACAAACUUCCUAGCACAUGAGAAGAUCUGGUUCGACAAGUUCAAAUAUGACGACGCAGAAAGGAGAUUCUACGAGCAGAUGAACGGGCCUGUGGCAGGUGCCUCCCGCCAGGAGAACGGCGCCAGCGUGAUCCUCCGUGACAUUGCGAGAGCCAGAGAGAACAUCCAGAAAUCCCUGGCUGGAGUGAGUACCCGCGGCCCACGGACCCGCGGGCUCCUGCUCGGCCAAGUAGCACGUCUGAUUUUUCCUGAUGCUGCUGGUUGUUUUGGCUUCACAGCAGAGUCAGGGCAGAGUGCACAGCGCUGUGCUCCUUGGGACGUGUGGCUCUGUGGCCUCCAGGCCCGGACUGCCAUGGACAGUGUUCUUAUUC